RNAcentral lists this transfer RNA (67 nucleotides) under Schistometopum thomense. Its description in RNAcentral is "tRNA-Ser". The record is from RNAcentral. Lineage: Eukaryota; Metazoa; Chordata; Amphibia; Gymnophiona; Dermophiidae.
AAGAGAACACGCACUAAUAAGAACUGCUAAUUACUUACAAUUAAGGUUAAACUCCUUAAUUCUCUUG